RNAcentral lists this long non-coding RNA (403 nucleotides) under Populus trichocarpa (black cottonwood). Its description in RNAcentral is "long non-coding RNA (PTRI_LNC000759)". The record is from RNAcentral. Lineage: Eukaryota; Viridiplantae; Streptophyta; Magnoliopsida; Malpighiales; Salicaceae.
UCCAAUAGCCUAACGUCAAAGGAUGAAAUAAAAGAAUUAAAAAAAAAACCAAAAUUAAAUCGAGCUAAUCUUCAAAACCAACAACUUUGGUUAUGAGAUCAAGAUGACAAUACAAAAGACCCAAAAAAAUCUUGAACAAUAUUCUUAACCUUCAAAAAAUUAAAAAGAAAACAAAUAGUAAUAAAAAAAAUGAGAAUCAAAUCUGGUAUAAAAACUAAUAAAAGAAAAUAAUGAGAGACUUAAUUGAAAAUAAAAUAAAAAACAGAAAAAGGAUUAAAAAAAUUAAAAAAAUGAGAACUAAAAUUGGAUUAAAAAAUAAAAUAAAAUGCUGAGUGAUAAAAUUGAAAGAAAAAAAAACAAAUUCAAAAGAGGAUAAAAAAAAGAACAAUUAAAAAAAUGACAC